ACCACGCCAGUCGACUCAAUGACAGACUUUAUGAUACAGCACGCGCACGCUAACCAUUCAGCCAUCCAACCCCCCGUAUUCUGUUGGAUAAAGACGCAAGACAGGCAGUACGGUGAAUCAGUUCAUGUGAAGUUGUUGGUCUUAAUAAUAACAACACAAAAUAAAAUAAGGAGUAACAAUCAUGUCGAAGCAAGAAUUCUCAGAUGUUAAGAAUCCCCAAGGAUACCCCCCACAGCAAGGAAAUCCCACGCAAAAAGGAGAUCCCCCGCAACAAGAAGAUCCCUGGCAAUAUGCCCCUCAGCAGGUAUAUCCCUCACAACAAGGAUAUGGUCAAGGAUAUGCCUCACAACAAGGAUAUGGUCAAGCGCAAUACCUAGUCGGUAGCAAUGUUAUUGUAACAACACAGCCACAGCUGUCAACACUCCACGUGACAAAACCCCCGGAUUAUCUGGGAUUCUCCAUCUUUGUUUGUCUGUGCUGUUGCUGUCCAAUUGGAACCGCUUCAAUAAUUUAUUCAUGCGGGUCACGUGAUGCCUUUACUGCUGGAGAUGUGAAAACUGCUCAAGCCAAUGGAUCAACGGCUCGUACUUUAAACUUUAUUGGACUGGUACUGGGUAUUUUAUGUAUCACAGUAUACUGGGCAGCGUAAAAAUGUAGGCUUUCAUUUUUAAAAAAAUAUAAUAAUUAAAGAUAUUAAAAUUCUAUUUUAAAUAGGCCUAUAACAUUUUUCAAUAAACAUUAUUUACGUUGA
Molecule: long non-coding RNA, 751 nt
Organism: Patella vulgata (common limpet)
Lineage: Eukaryota; Metazoa; Mollusca; Gastropoda; Patellidae
Exons: 4
Source: RefSeq, a predicted model, not a curated record